GACAGAGGGUGCAAGCGUUGUUCGGAAUCACUGGGCGUAAAGCGCACGUAGGCGGCUAGGUAAGUCAUAUGUGAAAUCCCAGGGCUCAACCCUGGAACUGCAUCUGAUACUGCCUAGCUUGAGUUCCGGAGAGGUUGGUGGAAUUCCUGGUGUAGAGGUGAAAUUCGUAGAUAUCAGGAGGAACACCGGUGGCGAAGGCGACCAACUGGACGGAAACUGACGCUGAGGUGCGAAAGCGUGGGGAGCAAACAGG
This 253-nucleotide ribosomal RNA is filed under the name uncultured bacterium. RNAcentral describes it as "partial 16S ribosomal RNA". It matches the Rfam family "Bacterial small subunit ribosomal RNA", at positions 524 to 776 of the family's 1533-position model. The record is from RNAcentral.